UAUAGUGUGGCUCAGUGGCAGAGCACUUGCCUAGCAUGCCUAAGGCCCUGGGUUCAACCCCCAGCAUUGCAA
This 72-nucleotide transfer RNA is filed under the name Ictidomys tridecemlineatus (thirteen-lined ground squirrel). RNAcentral describes it as "Spermophilus tridecemlineatus (thirteen-lined ground squirrel) tRNA". It matches the Rfam family "tRNA". From Rfam's summary of the family: Transfer RNA (tRNA) molecules are approximately 80 nucleotides in length. Their secondary structure includes four short double-helical elements and three loops (D, anti-codon, and T loops). The record is from Rfam by way of RNAcentral. Lineage: Eukaryota; Metazoa; Chordata; Mammalia; Rodentia; Sciuridae.